Molecule: unclassified non-coding RNA, 148 nt
Organism: Macaca mulatta (Rhesus monkey)
Lineage: Eukaryota; Metazoa; Chordata; Mammalia; Primates; Cercopithecidae
Rfam family: Metazoan signal recognition particle RNA
About the family: The signal recognition particle (SRP) is a universally conserved ribonucleoprotein. It is involved in the co-translational targeting of proteins to membranes.
Source: Ensembl
GCCAGGUGGGGUGGUGGACGCCUGUAAUCCCAGCUACUUGGGAGGCUGAGGCAGGAGACUUGCUUGAACCCAGGAAGUGGAGGUUGCAGUGAGCUGAGAUCAUACCACUGCACUCCAGCCUGGGCAACAGAGCAAGAUCCUGUCUCAA